RNAcentral lists this ribosomal RNA (1052 nucleotides) under uncultured bacterium. RNAcentral's name for it is "bacterial SSU rRNA". It matches the Rfam family "Bacterial small subunit ribosomal RNA", at positions 8 to 1071 of the family's 1533-position model. The record is from RNAcentral.
AGAGUUUGAUCAUGGCUCAGGACGAACGCUGGCGGCGUGCCUAACACAUGCAAGUCGAACGAGGUCCAUGGAGUGGCAACACUCCGGAAGACCUAGUGGCGAACGGGUGAGUAACACGUGAGGAACUUGCCCCGGAGACUGGGAUAAGCCCCCGAAAGGGGGUCUAAUACCGGAUGUCCUCACCGAGUCGCAUGGCUUGGUGAGGAAAUGGAUUCCGCUCCGGGAGAGCCUCGCGGCCUAUCAGCUAGUUGGUGGGGUAACGGCCCACCAAGGCGUCGACGGGUAGCUGGUCUGAGAGGACGAUCAGCCACACUGGGACUGAGACACGGCCCAGACUCCUACGGGAGGCAGCAGUGGGGAAUCUUGCGCAAUGGGCGAAAGCCUGACGCAGCAACGCCGCGUGCGGGAUGAAGGCCCUCGGGUUGUAAACCGCUUUCAGUGGGGACGAACCAAGACGGUACCCACAGAAGAAGGUCCGGCCAACUACGUGCCAGCAGCCGCGGUAACACGUAGGGACCAAGCGUUGUCCGGAUUCAUUGGGCGUAAAGAGCUCGUAGGCGGUUCGGUAAGUCGGGUGUGAAACCUCCAGGCUCAACCUGGAGACGCCACCCGAUACUGCCGUGACUAGAGUCCAGUAGGGGAGCGUGGAAUUCCUGGUGUAGCGGUGAAAUGCGCAGAUAUCAGGAGGAACACCAGCGGCGAAGGCGGCGCUCUGGGCUGGAACUGACGCUGAGGAGCGAAAGCGUGGGGAGCGAACAGGAUUAGAUACCCUGGUAGUCCACGCCGUAAACGUUGGGUACUAGGUGUGGGGUCUUAUCAACGGAUUCCGUGCCGAAGCUAACGCAUUAAGUACCCCGCCUGGGGAGUACGGCCGCAAGGCUAAACUCAAAGGAAUUGACGGGGGCCCGCACAAGCAGCGGAGCAUGUUGCUUAAUUUCGAGGCAACGCGAGACCUUACCUGGGUUUGACAUGUAGAAAAGCCACAGAGAUGUGUGUCCCUUUGGGCCUAUCACAAGGUGGGUGCAUGGGCUGUCGUCAGCCUCCGGUGUUCG